RNAcentral lists this ribosomal RNA (606 nucleotides) under Oscillatoria sp. MPI 990BR03. RNAcentral's name for it is "bacterial SSU rRNA". It matches the Rfam family "Bacterial small subunit ribosomal RNA", at positions 132 to 770 of the family's 1533-position model. Lineage: Bacteria; Bacillati; Cyanobacteriota; Cyanophyceae; Oscillatoriales; Oscillatoriaceae. The record is from RNAcentral.
UCAGGUCGGGGAUAACUCCUGGAAACGGGAGCUAAUACCGGAUGUGCCGAAAGGUGAAAGGUUUACUGCCUGGGGAGGAGCUCGCGUCUGAUUAGCUAGUUGGUGGGGUAAAAGCCUACCAAGGCGACGAUCAGUAGCUGGUCUGAGAGGAUGAGCAGCCACACUGGGACUGAGACACGGCCCAGACUCCUACGGGAGGCAGCAGUGGGGAAUUUUCCGCAAUGGGCGAAAGCCUGACGGAGCAAGACCGCGUGGGGGAGGAAGGCCUUUGGGUUGUAAACCCCUUUUGUCAGGGAAGAAGACAGUGACGGUACCUGACGAAUCAGCCUCGGCUAACUCCGUGCCAGCAGCCGCGGUAAUACGGAGGAGGCAAGCGUUAUCCGGAAUAAUUGGGCGUAAAGCGUCCGUAGGUGGCCCGGCAAGUCGGUUGUCAAAGACCUCAGCUCAACUGAGGAAAGGCAAGGGAAACUGCAAGGCUAGAGUGCGGUAGGGGUAGAGGGAAUUCCCAGUGUAGCGGUGAAAUGCGUAGAGAUUGGGAAGAACACCGGUGGCGAAAGCGCUCUACUGGGCCGCAACUGACACUCUUGGACGAAAGCUAGGGGAGCG